GGUGUUGCAUGGCUGUCGCCAGCUCGUGUCGUGAGAUGUUGGGUUAAGUCCCGCAACGAGCGCAACCCUCAUCCUUAGUUACCAUCAGGUAAUGCUGGGGACUUUAAGGAAACUGCCAGUGAUAAACUGGAGGAAGGUGGGGAUGAUGUCAAGUCAUCAUGGCCCUUAUGGAGUGGGCUACACACGUGCUACAAUGGUGGCUACAAUGGGCUGCAAAGUCGCGAGGCUAAGCUAAUCCCUUAAAAGCCAUCUCAGUUCGGAUUGUACUCUGCAACUCGAGUGCAUGAAGUUGGAAUCGCUAGUAAUCGUGGAUCAGCACGCCACGGUGAAUACGUUCCCGGGUCUUGUACACAC
Molecule: ribosomal RNA, 354 nt
Filed under: uncultured bacterium
Lineage: Bacteria
Description: bacterial SSU rRNA
Rfam family: Bacterial small subunit ribosomal RNA
Source: RNAcentral